This 2912-nucleotide ribosomal RNA is filed under the name Pseudomonas aeruginosa. RNAcentral's name for it is "bacterial LSU rRNA". It matches the Rfam family "Bacterial large subunit ribosomal RNA". Lineage: Bacteria; Pseudomonadati; Pseudomonadota; Gammaproteobacteria; Pseudomonadales; Pseudomonadaceae. The record is from RNAcentral.
GUUAUAUGGUCAAGUGAAGAAGCGCAUACGGUGGAUGCCUUGGCAGUCAGAGGCGAUGAAAGACGUGGUAGCCUGCGAAAAGCUUCGGGGAGUCGGCAAACAGACUUUGAUCCGGAGAUCUCUGAAUGGGGGAACCCACCUAGGCUAACCUAGGUAUCUUGUACUGAAUCCAUAGGUGCAAGAGGCGAACCAGGGGAACUGAAACAUCUAAGUACCCUGAGGAAAAGAAAUCAACCGAGAUUCCCUUAGUAGUGGCGAGCGAACGGGGAUUAGCCCUUAAGCUUCAUUGAUUUUAGCGGAACGCUCUGGAAAGUGCGGCCAUAGUGGGUGAUAGCCCCGUACGCGAAAGGAUCUUUGAAGUGAAAUCGAGUAGGACGGAGCACGAGAAACUUUGUCUGAACAUGGGGGGACCAUCCUCCAAGGCUAAAUACUACUGACUGACCGAUAGUGAACCAGUACCGUGAGGGAAAGGCGAAAAGAACCCCGGAGAGGGGAGUGAAAUAGAACCUGAAACCGUAUGCGUACAAGCAGUGGGAGCCUACUUGUUAGGUGACUGCGUACCUUUUGUAUAAUGGGUCAGCGACUUAUAUUCAGUGGCAAGCUUAACCGUAUAGGGUAGGCGUAGCGAAAGCGAGUCUUAAUAGGGCGUUUAGUCGCUGGGUAUAGACCCGAAACCGGGCGAUCUAUCCAUGAGCAGGUUGAAGGUUAGGUAACACUGACUGGAGGACCGAACCCACUCCCGUUGAAAAGGUAGGGGAUGACUUGUGGAUCGGAGUGAAAGGCUAAUCAAGCUCGGAGAUAGCUGGUUCUCCUCGAAAGCUAUUUAGGUAGCGCCUCAUGUAUCACUCUGGGGGGUAGAGCACUGUUUCGGCUAGGGGGUCAUCCCGACUUACCAAACCGAUGCAAACUCCGAAUACCCAGAAGUGCCGAGCAUGGGAGACACACGGCGGGUGCUAACGUCCGUCGUGAAAAGGGAAACAACCCAGACCGCCAGCUAAGGUCCCAAAGUUGUGGUUAAGUGGUAAACGAUGUGGGAAGGCUUAGACAGCUAGGAGGUUGGCUUAGAAGCAGCCAUCCUUUAAAGAAAGCGUAAUAGCUCACUAGUCGAGUCGGCCUGCGCGGAAGAUGUAACGGGGCUCAAACCACACACCGAAGCUGCGGGUGUCACGUAAGUGACGCGGUAGAGGAGCGUUCUGUAAGCCUGUGAAGGUGAGUUGAGAAGCUUGCUGGAGGUAUCAGAAGUGCGAAUGCUGACAUGAGUAACGACAAUGGGUGUGAAAAACACCCACGCCGAAAGACCAAGGGUUCCUGCGCAACGUUAAUCGACGCAGGGUUAGUCGGUUCCUAAGGCGAGGCUGAAAAGCGUAGUCGAUGGGAAACAGGUUAAUAUUCCUGUACUUCUGGUUACUGCGAUGGAGGGACGGAGAAGGCUAGGCCAGCUUGGCGUUGGUUGUCCAAGUUUAAGGUGGUAGGCUGAAAUCUUAGGUAAAUCCGGGGUUUCAAGGCCGAGAGCUGAUGACGAGUCGUCUUUUAGAUGACGAAGUGGUUGAUGCCAUGCUUCCAAGAAAAGCUUCUAAGCUUCAGGUAACCAGGAACCGUACCCCAAACCGACACAGGUGGUCGGGUAGAGAAUACCAAGGCGCUUGAGAGAACUCGGGUGAAGGAACUAGGCAAAAUGGCACCGUAACUUCGGGAGAAGGUGCGCCGGCUAGGGUGAAGGAUUUACUCCGUAAGCUCUGGCUGGUCGAAGAUACCAGGCCGCUGCGACUGUUUAUUAAAAACACAGCACUCUGCAAACACGAAAGUGGACGUAUAGGGUGUGACGCCUGCCCGGUGCCGGAAGGUUAAUUGAUGGGGUUAGCGCAAGCGAAGCUCUUGAUCGAAGCCCCGGUAAACGGCGGCCGUAACUAUAACGGUCCUAAGGUAGCGAAAUUCCUUGUCGGGUAAGUUCCGACCUGCACGAAUGGCGUAACGAUGGCGGCGCUGUCUCCACCCGAGACUCAGUGAAAUUGAAAUCGCUGUGAAGAUGCAGUGUAUCCGCGGCUAGACGGAAAGACCCCGUGAACCUUUACUGUAGCUUUGCACUGGACUUUGAGCCUGCUUGUGUAGGAUAGGUGGGAGGCUUUGAAGCGUGGACGCCAGUUCGCGUGGAGCCAUCCUUGAAAUACCACCCUGGCAUGCUUGAGGUUCUAACUCUGGUCCGUAAUCCGGAUCGAGGACAGUGUAUGGUGGGCAGUUUGACUGGGGCGGUCUCCUCCUAAAGAGUAACGGAGGAGUACGAAGGUGCGCUCAGACCGGUCGGAAAUCGGUCGCAGAGUAUAAAGGCAAAAGCGCGCUUGACUGCGAGACAGACACGUCGAGCAGGUACGAAAGUAGGUCUUAGUGAUCCGGUGGUUCUGUAUGGAAGGGCCAUCGCUCAACGGAUAAAAGGUACUCCGGGGAUAACAGGCUGAUACCGCCCAAGAGUUCAUAUCGACGGCGGUGUUUGGCACCUCGAUGUCGGCUCAUCACAUCCUGGGGCUGAAGCCGGUCCCAAGGGUAUGGCUGUUCGCCAUUUAAAGUGGUACGCGAGCUGGGUUUAGAACGUCGUGAGACAGUUCGGUCCCUAUCUGCCGUGGACGUUUGAGAUUUGAGAGGGGCUGCUCCUAGUACGAGAGGACCGGAGUGGACGAACCUCUGGUGUUCCGGUUGUCACGCCAGUGGCAUUGCCGGGUAGCUAUGUUCGGAAAAGAUAACCGCUGAAAGCAUCUAAGCGGGAAACUUGCCUCAAGAUGAGAUCUCACUGGGAACUUGAUUCCCCUGAAGGGCCGUCGAAGACUACGACGUUGAUAGGCUGGGUGUGUAAGCGUUGUGAGGCGUUGAGCUAACCAGUACUAAUUGCCCGUGAGGCUUGACCAUAUAACACCCAAACA